AACAAGGCGUACCUGCGGACCUGCGGAGGGAUCAUUGCCGAGUUUACAACUCCCAAACCCCUGUGAACAUACCACUUGUUGCCUCGGCGGAUCAGCCCGCUCCCGGUAAAACGGGACGGCCCGCCAGAGGACCCCUAAACUCUGUUUCUAUAUGUAACUUCUGAGUAAAACCAUAAAUAAAUCAAAACUUUCAACAACGGAUCU
RNAcentral lists this unclassified non-coding RNA (204 nucleotides) under soil metagenome. RNAcentral describes it as "partial contains 5.8S ribosomal RNA, internal transcribed spacer 2, and large subunit ribosomal RNA". The record is from RNAcentral.